This 427-nucleotide ribosomal RNA is filed under the name uncultured archaeon. Its description in RNAcentral is "bacterial SSU rRNA". It matches the Rfam family "Archaeal small subunit ribosomal RNA", at positions 331 to 760 of the family's 1478-position model. The record is from RNAcentral.
CGCAGCAGGCGCGAAACCUUCGCAAUGCGCGAAAGCGUGACGAGGUUAAUCCGAGUGACUUCCGCUGAGGAGGUCUUUUGUCAGCUGUAAAUAGGCAGGCGAAUAAGGGGAGGGCAAGCCUGGUGUCAGCCGCCGCGGUAAUACCAGCUCCUCGAGUGGUCGGGGCGAUUAUUGGGCCUAAAGCAUCCGUAGCCGGUUCCGUAGGUCCUCUGUUAAAUCCAACAGCUCAACUGUUGACCUGCAGAGGAUACCGCGGGACUAGGAGGCGGGAGAGGCGGACGGUACUCCGCGUGUAGGGGUAAAAUCCUUUGAUCCGCGGAAGACCACCAGUGGCGAAGGCGGUCCGCCAGAACGCGCUCGACGGUGAGGGAUGAAAGCUGGGGGAGCGAACCGGAUUAGAUACCCGGGUAGUCCCACCCGUAGACGA